Molecule: ribosomal RNA, 460 nt
Filed under: uncultured bacterium
Lineage: Bacteria
Description: partial 16S ribosomal RNA
Rfam family: Bacterial small subunit ribosomal RNA
Source: RNAcentral
CCUACGGGAGGCAGCAGUGAGGAAUAUUGGUCAAUGGACGCAAGUCUGAACCAGCCAUGCCGCGUGCAGGAAGACGGCUCUAUGAGUUGUAAACUGCUUUUGUACGAGGGUAAACGCAGAUACGCGUAUCUGUCUGAAAGUAUCGUACGAAUACGGAUCGACUAACUACGUGCCAGCAGCCGCGGUAAUACGGAGGAUUCAAGCGUUAUCCGGAUUUAUUGGGUUUAAAGGGUGCGUAGGCGGUCGGAUAAGUUAGAGGUGAAAUCCCAAGGCUCAACUUCGGAAUUGCCUUUGAUACUGUUCGGCUAGAGAGUAGUUGCGGUAGGCGGAAUGUAUGGUGUAGCGGUGAAAUGCGUAGAGAUCAUACAGAACACCGAUGGCGAAGGCAGCCUACCAAGCUACUUCUGACGUUGAGGCACGAAAGCGUGGGGAGCAAACAGGAUUAGAUACCCCUGUAGUC